This 253-nucleotide ribosomal RNA is filed under the name uncultured bacterium. RNAcentral describes it as "partial 16S ribosomal RNA". It matches the Rfam family "Bacterial small subunit ribosomal RNA", at positions 524 to 776 of the family's 1533-position model. The record is from RNAcentral.
UACGGAGGGUGCAAGCGUUGUUCGGAAUUACUGGGCGUAAAGCGCGUGUAGGCGGUCGGGCAAGUCAGAUGUGAAAGCCUUCCGCUUAACGGAAGAAGUGCAUUUGAAACUACCCGGCUGGAGUACGGGAGAGGAGAGUGGAAUUCCCGGUGUAGAGGUGAAAUUCGUAGAUAUCGGGAGGAACACCAGUGGCGAAGGCGGCUCUCUGGUCCGAUACUGACGCUGAGACGCGAAAGCGUGGGGAGCAAACAGG